This 502-nucleotide ribosomal RNA is filed under the name uncultured bacterium. RNAcentral's name for it is "partial 16S ribosomal RNA". It matches the Rfam family "Bacterial small subunit ribosomal RNA", at positions 899 to 1397 of the family's 1533-position model. The record is from RNAcentral.
ACUCAAAUGAAUUGACGGGGACCCGCACAAGCGGUGGAGCAUGUGGAUUAAUUCGAUACUAACCGAAGAACCUUACCCAGGUUUGACAUCGAGGGUAAGCCUAUGAAAGUAGGCCCUCUCCCACAAGGAGACCCAAAGACAGAUGUUGCAUGGCUGUCGUCAGCUCGUGCCGUGAGGUGUACGGUUAAGUCCGCCAACGAGCGCAACCCUCGUCCUGUGUUACCAGCGAGUAAAGUCGGGAACUCACAGGAGACCGCCGGUGUAAGCCGGAGGAAGGUGGGGAUGAUGUCAAGUCAGCAUGGCUCUUACGCCUGGGGCUUCACACAUGCUACAAUGGGCGCAACAGAGGGACGCAAGACCGUGAGGUGGAGCUAAUCCCAAAAAUACGCCCCCAGUUCAGAUUGCAGUCUGCAACUCGACUGCAUGAAGUCGGAAUCGCUAGUAAACGCAGGUCAGCUAUACUGCGUUGAAUACGUUCCCGGGUCUUGUACACACCGCCCGU